Molecule: ribosomal RNA, 467 nt
Filed under: uncultured bacterium
Lineage: Bacteria
Description: partial 16S ribosomal RNA
Rfam family: Bacterial small subunit ribosomal RNA
Source: RNAcentral
GAUGAACGCUGGCGGCGUGCUUAACACAUGCAAGUCGAACGGUGAAGCAGAGCUUGCUCUGUGGAUCAGUGGCGAACGGGUGAGUAACACGUGAGCAACCUGCCCCUGACUCUGGGAUAAGCGCUGGAAACGGCGUCUAAUACUGGAUAUGAGCUGCGACCGCAUGGUCAGCAGUUGGAAAGAUUUUUCGGUCUGGGAUGGGCUCACGGCCUAUCAGCUUGUUGGUGAGGUAAUGGCUCACCAAGGCGUCGACGGGUAGCCGGCCUGAGAGGGUGACCGGCCACACUGAGACUGAGACACGGCCCAGACUCCUACGGGAGGCAGCAGUGGGGAAUAUUGCACAAUGGGCGAAAGCCUGAUGCAGCAACGCCGCGUGAGGGAUGACGGCCUUCGGGUUGUAAACCUCUUUUAGCAGGGAAGAAGCGAAAGCGACGGUACCUGCAGAAAAAGCGCCGGCUAACUACGUG